UCGCCACUGUUUUUUUGAAUAUAUUAGAAAAGAAAAAAAGUAGAACAGAGCGGAAGUUCACUAGCAUCAAAUUAAUUUGCACUUUAGGAGUAAAUAUAUCGAAUAAUACGGUUCAAAAUUUUAACAUAUUUUUGAAAACAGUACAAAAGUGCAUCGAAAAGUGUGAAAUUGUGGGACAACUUAAAUUUAUAAGUAUAUUUUAUAGUUUGGUUUAUAAUCAAUGUAUCCACGAAGCUGCGAUUUUUGGAAAACACAACUAAAUUAAUCGUUCCAACACGUAAUGGAUGAAAAAUCGGGUAAGUG
Molecule: long non-coding RNA, 303 nt
Organism: Teleopsis dalmanni
Lineage: Eukaryota; Metazoa; Arthropoda; Insecta; Diptera; Diopsidae
Exons: 3
Source: RefSeq, a predicted model, not a curated record